Nyctereutes procyonoides (raccoon dog) is the source of this 679-nucleotide long non-coding RNA. RefSeq lists it as uncharacterized. The transcript is spliced from 2 exons. The record is from RefSeq and is a predicted model, not a curated record. NCBI's taxonomy places the organism in Eukaryota, Metazoa, Chordata, Mammalia, Carnivora, Canidae.
UCCUCCCUCCCCGCCGUCCCCACCCCCUCCCCCGGGCUCCCGUGCGGUGCCCUGAGAGCUGGAGGCUGACGUCAGGGGCCUGAAUUCCUGACUUUGCCUGCACGCAUUUGCCCAUGUAAGCCUCGCCCCGGAUGCCUGGCGACACUCGGGACCUACCGGACGCGGAGCCGGCCGAGGUCGACCUCCCAGCCCGCCCACCUGACCGGGACGGAGCCGAAGCCCGGGAAGACGAAUGACUCGCCCAGGGGCACACACCGCGCAGAUCGCUCAGCCUCCGGCCUCGUUCCCGCCGCUGCCGCCGGGCCGGGCCGGGCCGGGCCGGGCCGGGCCCAGGCUCCCCUAGACCCACUGAGCUGUCGGGGGCGGGGGGGAAACAGGCCACCUGUCCUUAGGCCCAUGCGGACCACCCAGUGAAGAGCCUUCUAGCUUCUCUUGGCCCCCCAGCCCGUUCCUGGAAGGGUCUGACUGACAGCCCUGAGUGGCGGGGACCUUCAGUUGCUUCGGGGCAUCUUUCUCCGUCCUGCACUCACAGGAACCCCAGCAGUUUAACAUUCACUUCCCAGCCUGGUCCGGAAGCCCAGAAAGCUUGCUGUGUACUGAACUGAUAGCUUAAAAAAAAAAAAAAAAAAACUGUAAACUGGGUGAACUGGUUUGAAUAGAGGCAAGCCUGUUCUUGGAA